AUCCAGGUGAAGAGUCUUAAACUGGACGAAAUACGCAUCCUGGAU
RNAcentral lists this non-coding RNA (45 nucleotides) under Schistosoma haematobium. The record is from RNAcentral. RNAcentral also lists the same sequence under 1 other name. Lineage: Eukaryota; Metazoa; Platyhelminthes; Trematoda; Strigeidida; Schistosomatidae.